This is a long non-coding RNA of Micropterus salmoides (largemouth bass), 972 nucleotides long. RefSeq lists it as uncharacterized. The transcript is spliced from 3 exons. The record is from RefSeq and is a predicted model, not a curated record. NCBI's taxonomy places the organism in Eukaryota, Metazoa, Chordata, Actinopteri, Centrarchiformes, Centrarchidae.
CACACCUACGCACAAGUAUAAAUGCAUGGCUACGUGCACAGCCUACGGUGUAGGUACGUACGUAGACCCUACGCAGGAGUAUAAAUGGGCAAAAGGCUAUCGUUAUUGGGUUUACCCCUCCACGCGCCUGCGCGGAACUGAGAAAAGUUGUGUACGCCAACCCACAGCGUAGGCCUUUCCUGUGUCCACACCUUGUAAAUAUACAACGGUGAGACCCGGCCUUCGCUUCCCAUUUUUCUUCAGCACUGAGCUGUCUAAAGAGCAGAAGAAGAGCGAUGUCUUCUAGCAAGCCGUCCCGAGUGGGGCAUUCUGGCAACGGGCUUCGUCUUGCCGGUGGACCUCCAUCCCCAAUGCUGGGUGAGCCUCGGACCAUAGCACACCAGCUGAGUGCUCACCCCUGGUUCACUCUGCUUGUUCUGCGACCUUCUCUCCCCCAAAGAGAAGCAGCGUCUGGUGGAUCAUUUUGCCGCCGACCAGGGAGACCCCAUGUGUCCACGUUGCACCAACUUAGCUGCGGCUAAUGACAUCUAGCAACCGGUUUUAUUGCUGCUGGCCGACCCUCGACGGUCAGAGCGGACCACUGGAACAACAUGAGGUACACAUGAGAUGCAUCUGGCCCUUCAUGCCAACCCAGUGGACCUGCAAGAGGAUGACUGAUUUCUUCAAGACCCACAAUGAAAGUACUCAUUGUACUCACACAUCAAUAUCAAUGAAAUGUACUAUGGGAAACCAACUUUAAUGAUUCUUCCAGCAUUUGACAGACUGACAGACUUCACUCGAUAAAAAUCUUGGUAGCCUAUUACAUUACAAAUCACCGUGGAUAUUUUACAAGCAAGACCAGGUAAAGCAGCAGUGAACACACAGGGUGCAGAUGUUGGUUUCGGUUGUUUGAAAUGCUACGUCAUUAACAAGUAAGCAUGCAGCUCAACUGCUGCCGUGAUAACAGAUUGUGGGUGGAAAAAUACGGAAAAA